This 5308-nucleotide long non-coding RNA is filed under the name Sus scrofa (pig). RNAcentral describes it as "lncRNA (ENSSSCG00015077730.1)". Lineage: Eukaryota; Metazoa; Chordata; Mammalia; Artiodactyla; Suidae. The record is from RNAcentral.
GUGAAGGUGAAAGAAGUCAAGUCAGUGACUCUCAAAGAGGGGCCACACACCAGGACCUGGAAAUGGACAUUAUAAAAGCUUUGUAUUAGAAGAGAGAGUAAACAAGAAACAAAUUAUAUUAUAAAGGCUAGAGCCCAAAACUGUCAAUAAGCCAGGCCACACUGUUUCUGUGCCACAGCAUGGCUCUCUCUAGGACAUCACCAUACUCAGCAAGGCUGAGCAUGGUUCAGACCCCAAGAGCCUCCAGCCUUUAAUUUUAUGAGGCAUUUCUGGCAGCCCUGAUUAGAAGUGUCCAUUUCUUGUCCCUUCUAUAUGGCCCAAGGAAAUUUACAUCAGUUAUAUUAACAAAAGAAGCAAUAAAAUAAAUAGUGUCCUUUGGGAUCAAUGUGUAAACAGUGGCUUUUAAUCUAAAAUCUUUUUUUUUUUUUUUUUUUUGCUUUCUAGGGCUACACUUUCAGUAUAUGGAAGUUUUCAGGCUAGGGGUUGAAUUGGAGCUGUAGUUGCUCUCCUACACCACAGCCACAGCAACUCGGGGUCCGAGCUGCAUCUGUGACUUACACCAUAGCUCACAGAAAUGCCAGAUCCUCAACCCACUGUGCAAGGCCAGGAAUCAAACCCUCAUCCUCAUGGAUACUAGUUGGAUUUGUUUCUGCUGAGCCAGGAUGGGAAUUCCUAAAAUUUCUUCUUUCUGAGGGGGAGCUGUGGAAAAUGGCUGUAUAAAUCUGAAUUUUCUCUUUGGCAAAAUAGCCUUUGAUGAGCGAUGGGCCAGAUACUUUUUAUAACUCUAGGCCAGAAAGGACAGAGGAAAAGGAUUCAGCAUGAUACAACUGAAGCUUCUCAGAUUCAAUUCAUUAUUUGCCAAGCCCUGGUUAUUUUGUGUGGGUUUACACAAAUGACUGUGUUUGAGCUUGGUUCCAAAACUGUGAGGUAAAUGUCAUUAUCAUCAAUUUAUAGAUAGGAAAAUGAGACACUGAUGAUGUCACUUUACCCCCCUGGACCUCAGAUAAUGAAAAAGCAGCACAUUCAGGUUUUAUUGAGACUUUUAGUCUCCAAGUAAAUUGGACAUUAACAGAAACGCUCUCACCUAUUUUGUGUACAAUGCCCCAUUGAUUUCUAUCUGAAUGAACUUGUAUCUCUUAAUGAUAUAGGGUCUGAAAACACAGAGGCCAAGAGCAGUUUAACUCUGCUCCUAUAAAGUUAGUGGGAAUUAAGUUGUAGGGGCAUCAAACUGCAGUAGCACUUUGGGAAGACUCUCAGGAUAUAUCUGGUCCCUUCGGCAGUACCAUCAGACCAGACAAGAGAAUUUGGCAGGAUCUGGUGUGUCUUUAUCAGGGUGAAGCCUUCCCAUUGCUGUUGUUUGAUCUCUGGCCUUCUUCCCUCCAAACAAGGCCAAGUGCUUUAAAAGGCAGGCAGUUCUGGUGUGAAGCUGACCUGGCUUCACACACUUUGAGCAGCCUUAUUUCAGUCCAUGUGGGAAGCAAGGAUAUCAGGCCAUGGGCUUCGAAACAAUGGGUCAGCAGGGCAACAACUUGUGGAGGGUAGUGAGCCACUGUGUGAGGAGCCAACUUGGGCCGCUAGAUUCCCAAGCUUCCCAGACUCUAUAAAUGCAGGGACCCUAUUGCCCUUAUCCAUCAGGCUCUCUACUGACUCUGUCAAGUGCAGUUCAAUCAGUUUUGCAUUUGCCAGGGAGGUAUGUGGUGGAAAUCAGACUGCCCUACAGGGAAGAAGAUAAGGAUUCUACCUUCAGCUCUGCACUAGUUUCUGGCGUAACCUUAAGGAAAUCACUUUCUUUUCUGAGUCUCAGUUCAUUCUCUACAGAAGGAGCGAGUUCUCCUAAGUAUACCUUUAUGCUAGUCCUCUCCCAAUCAUUUUGGAAUUAGCAGUGUGCUUUUCACACCUCUGGAAAUCAAAACAAGCCCGUGAGGCAGGCCAGAAAGUGUUUGUUUUCCUUUUACAAAUAAGGGCAUUGUGGUCCAGAAUGACUUGCUACAAGUCAGAGAUCUCCUAACCCUGGCUUAAUAUUGGUUCCAAGGCACAAUCCAUCAGCACCUUGACUCCGAGCGCAUUUUUGUUUUAGAUAAUUCAAUUGGGUGGCUCUCCCAGAGUUGCAGCUGUUGCCCCGGAGGAAAUGAGAACAUUUAGAAGCUGUUCUCACUUGGGUAGACUAAGGCGCCUUGUAUCAUGGUAAUAGGAACUAGAGGAGGUGACUUUUAGCCAGUAAAAUAGCUCCCUGAGCUAUUUUAGUUGCAGCUAGAGCAGUUACUCUCAAACUUCAGUGCACACGAAGAUCCUUGGAGAAUCUGUUUAUGCUCUUUAUAUCUGGGCCCUAGCCCCAGAGUGCUUCUGCAGGCUUACUGACCUGGUCUAGAAUUGCCUCAGAGAGGACAAUUCUGAUAGUCAGAUUGACUUUACCACUGGUGAGAGACCCUGCAUUGAACUAGCUACAAAGCCAGUCACACUCUCUGCCAUCUGCCUUUGCCUGCUUUCUCCUGGGAGAUCUCAUAGGCCUCUGCUGGUGGUAGAUAGAGGGGCUAUAUUCUGAGCAUGACUUUGCCCAUAGGAAACCACUAACUCAGACUAUUUCACCACUUUAUUUCACUUUUAUCCUCUUUAAUCUGGUGGAGCAAUUUUAACAACCAGGACAUAAAAUUAACAUUGGAAUAACUCAUCUGAUUGGAAAGCAAAAACUAAUGCAUUUAGACAAUUCUCCUUUGACUUAGGUUAAGACUAUUAGACAUUUCACAUUACUGGGGGAGCUCAGAACCCUUAAAAAAUCCCUUAAAGAUUUGUAGGUACUUUAUGUUAUGAAUUGCUAGAGUUAGACCAAAAAACUCACCACUUCUUUUAGAGGUACUAUUAGUGCCAUUCUCAAUAUUUGAAUAAGGUAUUUAUGUAAUGUAAAUUUUUUUAAAAGGUGAGUGUAACUCAAGAAAAGGUAUACCAAGAGAAAUGAACAAGUUUAAAUAAUUCACAAAUUGAAAGAAAACCACACUGUUUAAUCCUAUGUCUUCAUUUGAGUUCAGAAAAUAUGAUUCUGGAAUAGUCAGUUAGCAUUCACAAUAUGGGAGCAAAUUAUUAACCAAAACUUCUGGUUUCUUAUGUUUCUGGGAUUCAUUGAAAUUUAUCACACAUUUUGAAUACUAAAAAAAAUGAAAACUUCCAACUUACAGCCCUUAUUCUUGGUACUUUGUCUCCCUUCCGUUAUUACCUAAUGUGCAGAAAAGCCACUUACUCCUCCUUCCAAAUUCCUUACACAGGAAGAGGAGAUUUGUUGCUGGUUUGAUCAAAUGGUAUUUAAAAAGUAUUUAAAAGAAAGGAUAUAUGUCUUCCUAGUUUCUUCUCCUCUUUUCACUUCUUCUGCUGAAAACUUUCAGACCUGAGUUCCCCCUCUAGCACUCAUUGGGAGCUUGUGUCAGACACAAAUGCCUUGGGGUUACCAAGACUUCUGCACAAAAGUCCCAACCAACAUUUGGGAUGGAAAACUUAGAUAUUGAUUUAAGUGAACCAUCUCACUAAAGUUGCCCAUGGGGUCUUAGGAAAUGAACAGGUAUAAUAAAUUGAACUGUUAUUCUCAAUUAUUCUUAUCCUCCCUAGAUCAGAAUUAGAUGUCCACACCUUUUGUCAUGUAAUUUAGUAAUGCCUUGCACCAGAGUCCACUUACCUGGCCCAUUGAUGUUGAAUGUACCCAUAUGACUUUCUUGAGUUAAUGGGACAUCAGUGACUAUAAAGAAGAGUAACCAUUUUUGGCCAAGGUCUUGCAGAGUAUGCUGCUGGCUUUCUUGGAAUUCCAUAAUCCAUCAUGAAAAUAACAUGCCUGGGUAGUUGCUGCUCUGAGAAUAAUGAAACUCAUGGAGCAGACCUGAACCAACUGAGGCCUGCAUCCAAACCAGUCCAGGAGAGCCUGGUCAAUCCCAACUGAGCUCAGCCAAACCACUGCCAACCCGAAGACUCACAAGCAAAACAUCAAUAUCUGUUUUUACAAGCUAUUUGGAUUUUUUCCCCCAUGCAAAAUUAUCACAGCAAUAGUUGCAUGAUACAAUAGAUCCAGAAAAACUACCAAAGAGAGAAACCUCAGCCAGGUAUGUAGCUUUGAUGUACAAAAAUACAUUUAUUUUCAACAAUUUCAAAACCACUGUCUUUUUUUUUUACAUAGAAAUAUUCAAAUGGAACAAUAAAACCAAGAACAGUAUAUGUACAUAUACUGUAUAUAUAGAUAUGACUCAUGCAUUUGUAUUCCAGUGUUUAGUACAAGUAUUGCAAUUGUCUGCCCCAUUUAACCCUUGGAACAAAAAAGCAGGAUCUUUAGAAAUCCUCCCAAUUCUGAUCUAUGCUGUAGACAGUCCAAUUUCUCCAGGUCACAUUCUCUGCGUCUCACAGAGAAGGAUGUGAACAGGUACAAAACUUGGCCUUUCCUCCCAUAUAUAUACAGUAUAUCAUUAAAAAAAAAAAAAAAGUAUGCUCAGGCUGAGCCUGAAAAGAAAACAAUGCUUUCAGCAUCGCUUAAAGCCACCCUUCUGAAAGGAACUGACACAUGAAAUGGGUGAAGGGGCUGGGAUGAUAGAAAAGAGAACACUGGCUUUGAAAGUCACUCGCCUCAGACGCAAGAACUAUCUUAGGGGAACUGAAGGCAGACAUUUGAAUUGAAGGAAGUUGUGUACAUCAGACAAGCAAAUAGCACAGCUUUGCUAAAAUCAACUUUGACUAAUAUCAUGAAAAGCUAGACCCCUAUUCUUCCCACAGGGUUUGCACGGUCUCCUGAUCCCACAAAUGCCACCUCCCUCCCUCCUCCAACUUCUCCCAGGCCAAGAGACCCUCACUGGGCUUAACUGAGUACCCAAGGGACUUCUCUGAGCUAAGAACAGCCCAUAACUUCCCCAUAAGCAUUACACCUUUUCAUGGACUUUAACCAGAAAACAAUACUUUUCAUUGUUCAGAUCCAUUGCCUGGCUCCUUUAGAGAAAACCAUUUUCCCAGGCUAAUAACCAUCCUCCACUGCAACCUUCCUGAGGGAAAGCCUAGUUUCCCCAUCUGGGUCUCAGUCUGAAGUCUCUCAUGGGCUUCAUCUUUCAACUUCUUCCAUGUCACUGUGGGACACAAAGUGCCCCCCCAUGUUCUAUGAGGUCACUCUCAUCCUUCCUUUAACCAGUUGUCCCCAAGAAGCCCUCCCCCCUCCCCCCUUUAUAUACAGAAGUAGAAACCGGCAAUGACAUGGACACAGAAAUGCAAGAGUUAAGUGUGACAGACAACUGGAGAGCAUCCAGAACCCAACUCGUCCAGCAGGCCUGGGGGUUGGUCAGCUCUGAAGGUG